GGGUGAGUAACACGUGGAUAACCUACCUAUAAGACUGGGAUAACUUCGGGAAGCCGGAGCUAAUACCGGAUAACAUGUUGAACCGCAUGGUUCAACAGUGAAAGACGGUCUUGCUGUCACUUAUAGAUGGAUCCGCGCCGCAUUAGCUAGUUGGUAAGGUAACGGCUUACCAAGGCAACGAUGCGUAGCCGACCUGAGAGGGUGAUCGGCCACACUGGAACUGAGACACGGUCCAG
Molecule: ribosomal RNA, 236 nt
Filed under: uncultured Staphylococcus sp.
Lineage: Bacteria; Bacillati; Bacillota; Bacilli; Caryophanales; Staphylococcaceae
Description: partial 16S ribosomal RNA
Rfam family: Bacterial small subunit ribosomal RNA
Source: RNAcentral